This 468-nucleotide ribosomal RNA is filed under the name uncultured bacterium. RNAcentral describes it as "partial 16S ribosomal RNA". It matches the Rfam family "Bacterial small subunit ribosomal RNA", at positions 28 to 507 of the family's 1533-position model. The record is from RNAcentral.
GACGAACGCUGGCGGCGUGCUUAACACAUGCAAGUCGAACGGAAAGGCCCUGCUUUUGUGGGGUGCUCGAUUGGCGAACGGGUGAGUAACACGUGAGUAACCUGCCCUUGACUUUGGGAUAACUUCAGGAAACUGGGGCUAAUACCGGAUAGGAGCUCCUGCUGCAUGGUGUGGGUUGGAAAGUUUCGGCGGUUGGGGAUGGACUCGCGGCUUAUCAGCUUGUUGGUGGGGUAGUGGCUUACCAAGGCUUUGACGGGUAGCCGGCCUGAGAGGGUGACCGGCCACAUUGGGACUGAGAUACGGCGCAGACUCCUACGGGAGGCAGCAGUGGGGAAUAUUGCACAAUGGGCGGAAGCCUGAGGCAGCAACGCCGCGUGCGGGAUGACGGCCUUCGGGUUGUAAACCGCUUUCGCCUGUGACGAAGCGUGAGUGACGGUAAUGGGUAAAGAAGCACCGGCUAACUACGUG